CCUACGGGUGGCAGCAGUGAGGAAUAUUGGUCAAUGGCCGGAAGGCUGAACCAGCCAUGCCGCGUGAAGGUCAGUGCCCUAUGGGCGUUAAACUUCUUUUGUGCGGGAGCAAUAAUGGUCACGUGUGGCCAGACGAGAGUACCGUACGAAUAAGCAUCGGCUAACUCCGGGCCGGCAGCCGCGGUAAUACGGGGGAUGCAGGCGUUAUCCGGUUUUAUUGGGUUUAAGGGGGCGUAGGCGGGGAGGUAAGGUAGCGGUGAAAUGCCCCCGCUCCACGGGGUGAAGUGCCAUUGAUACUGGCGUGCUGGAAUGCGGAUGCGGUGGGAGGAAUGUGUGGUGUAGCGGUGAAAUGCAUAGAUAUCACACAGAACACCGAUUGCGAAGGCAUCUCACGAAUCCGCGAUUGACGCUGAUGCACGAAAGCGUGGGUAUCAAACAGGAUUAGAUACCCGUGUAGUC
RNAcentral lists this ribosomal RNA (459 nucleotides) under uncultured bacterium. RNAcentral's name for it is "partial 16S ribosomal RNA". It matches the Rfam family "Bacterial small subunit ribosomal RNA", at positions 338 to 795 of the family's 1533-position model. The record is from RNAcentral.